RNAcentral lists this unclassified non-coding RNA (294 nucleotides) under plant metagenome. RNAcentral describes it as "partial contains small subunit ribosomal RNA, internal transcribed spacer 1, and 5.8S ribosomal RNA". The stretch from base 1 to 54 matches the Rfam family "Eukaryotic small subunit ribosomal RNA", at positions 1778 to 1831 of the family's 1831-position model. The record is from RNAcentral.
GGAAAUAAAAGUCGUAACAAGGUUUCCGUAGGUGAACCUGCGGAAGGAUCAUUAAUGAGUUGUCAUGGGGUUCGAUGCUGGCAGCCAGUUUUUGGAUGCAUGUGCUUGCCCUAACAAUCAUCUUCUUCCAAACACCUGUGCACAUUUUUGAGGGAGUCUUGAGUUGGUUGCCGCUCUUGGGUGAUUUUCUCACAUUCCCUUAAAUCAUUAUACGCUAUUAACAAUGUUGAACGUGCUCUGUGCCGCAAGGCCAUUAAUAUAAUACAACUUUUAACAACGGAUCUCUUGGCUCUC